UCCAUAAAAUCAGAAAUCAAACCUGGUCUGGUUAUGUUCCUGCUCUCUAUAUCCUUCUUCUCCCCUGUUAACAGCUUCACCACCGUGGACAUACUUGGCCUUAGCUUAGGAUUGUCUUGCGUGCACAAAAGACCUAUUUUUAGGUACCGGCAAGCUUCCUCUCCGUCAAAGACUCCGUUUAGCCCUGUGUCAACGAGAUCCACGAGCUCAUUUCGCUCAUAAAGAUCCCAAGCCUGUGGAAAUGCAAGAAAAAAAGUUAUAUCUCUAAAACCAAAGAGCUUACAAAAGAACAUAAAAGGCAAGAGACUUACUCUUUCUAGAAGAUAUUGAUACCCCUGGGGUAACCGUGUGUUUUUGUUACUUCUUGCACUAACUAUCUCCAUCAGAAGGACUCCAUAGCUGUAAACAUCAGCUUUGCGCGUAACCUGUCCCCUAACCGCAUACUCUGGCGCUAGAUAACCACUGCACAAACCAGAUGUUAAUUAAGAACCUUUACUUAUAGCGAGAAUAUAAAAAAAAACGCUUGAAACUCACAUUGUACCGGCGACACGAGUGCUGACAUGAGUCAUGUUCGGCGGCAUAAGCUUGGCGAGUCCAAAAUCAGCUAUCUUGGGAGAUAAGUCUCUGUCAAGUAGAAUGUUGCUCGCCUUGAUAUCUCUAUGAAUAAUGUGAGGCCUUACUUCUUCAUGAAGAAAGGCAAGACCUUUAGCAACCCCAACGCAGAUUCUGGACCGAGUUCUCCAAUCAAACUGUAUCCCACUCUUAAUGUAUCCCCCAGCUGAAAAAAAAACAUUCAUCCAUCGAGAAUAUGACAUUAAAGAAACUGACAAACAAACUACGAGAAUCACCUAAGAGGGUCUUAUCAAGGCUAUUGUUCUCCAGAUAGUUGUAGACAAGUAUCCUGUGAUUCCCUUCCACGCAGCAUCCGUAUAACUUAACCAGAUUCUCAUGCUGUAUCUCUGAUAUGACGUUGAUCUCAGUCAAGAACUCUUUCACGCCUUGUCUUGACUCAGCGGAAAGGACUUUGAUAGCUGCAAUCUUUCCAUCUUUAAGACGGCCCUAUAAUCAUUGUUUGGGUUAAGAAGAUGACGAGAGAAGAGCAAGGAAGUGAGUUUUCUCAUUUUACCUUGUACACAGAGCCAAACCCUCCCUCUCCAAUUUUAUUUAGGGCGUCGAAAUCAUCAGUAGCUUGACGAAUCUCUUUGUAUUUGUAAAUCUUUACCUUGAUUAUCGCUGAGAUCUCUGUAAGCAAGAAAGAUAAACAAACACUAAGUUAAGAGGAAACCAGCAACAAGACUAUGCAUAGUUAACAUUCCAAGCUUAAAAGUAGUAUAUGUUACCUCUAUCAACUUGUGAAGGUUCUCCUCCACUCUUAUGGCAUGAGAAACAGGAGCCCAUCAUUGUAAUAAGACAGACCUGUGAACUGUUGAUGCCAUCAAUUAUAAUGAUUACACACGAAGAAAGAAACGAGACCAGUUCAGAGAUUUGAAUUCUAACUAGUAAACCAGAGAUAAGAUCGAAUCCAAUUACUACUACUCAAUAGAAUCUCUAUCCAAGUAAGAAACUCCCCAAAGACCUCAGAAGCUAAAGCAACUUAAAAAAAAAGCUGCCGACUUUGAAUUUGGGUUUCUUAGGAUUGAGAACAAAAACUCAAAACAGACACAAAUAAAACGAAAUUCAGCGGAAAAAUAGAAAGAAAGAGAAACCCACCUCAGAGAGAGUUGAAAUUGGUAUAAAAAAGGCUCUGACUUUACGCGAUCAGAGUCGCUCUGUCUCUCUUAUUAUCCUCGCUGUGUGUGUGUGGAUAUCAGAGAUUAAGGAUUUGAUGAAAAUGGAGUAGGAGAGGGAAAGAAUGAAGAAGAAGGAAGAAGAAGGGGUCUUUGUAAAUCUGAAGCACGCGUCAGUACUAUAUCUUGUGCGUUGCUCCGACGACUAAGCAAUGCUACAGUCUUUCUUCUCUUUUUGUACUUUUCUUUAUUUUAUCUCAUGUUAAAAUUGUCUGUUCUCAUAGGACGGCUCGGAGUAAUGCACUCAGACGUGUAUUCUCACAAAGUAGUAGAAUUAUCGACUGUAAAAUCGUCUAUGUAAUGUUCUCAAAAAAAAAAAAUUGUCUAUUCUCUUUGUUUAUGUAAUAAAUUAUCGUUUACCCGCCAAUCAUCUCGCGGAAUAUUAUUUUAACAGAGUUGUAAUUUGUAAAGAAAACCAAAAAAAAAAAUAAAAAAAUCACACUUUUAUCCGCUAGGGUUUUUGAAGUUUGGCUCGUGCGUCGCGAUAAUCGCCAAUGGCGAAACCUAGCCGCGGCCGUCGUUCACCUUCCGUCUCUGGGUCUUCAUCUCGGUCCCCCGCCGAAGAAGGAAAACUAUAAGAAGAAAGAGUUACCAGUGGUUACGAUGAACUAUUCUCCAAACCGCACAAGACUAUAUAUGUUGCACGCCUAAAACUCACGGCAAAAAGUCAAACUAGGAUGAGAAAUCGUGGAAAGAUAUUGAAUACUUUUUCUUUGGUUUGUGAACCAUAGCGUAUGUACCAUCCAGCUGUAGACAAAAAUAAUAAUAAUAAUCAGAAUGUCAUUUAAUGAAAUAAUCGACAUUUCAACUAUAGGAUCAUGGACAAAAUGAGUCGUUGACUCUUGGCAAAAACCACAGUAGGUGUACUUGUCAUGUAGAAAUCAUAUACCGUUAAAGCUCCAAAUCAUCACUAAACUAUGAAAUGUACAGAACAAGUGACACAAAAAUAGAUAUAGCAUAUGGCUAAUGGAUCAUGGGAACCUCAAGUGGUGACUUACUGGUUAAUCAAUCGGACAGUGAUUGGUUUAACCUCUCGGUUAAGACGCAUUCAAGACAACUGAAUCAAUGAAGCUACAACAUAUAGAUAUCAGACAUCAUAACUAUUUUUUGGGGACCAAUUCAGAUACGGUUUCAAUCUUAUAUACAUACACACAAAUCUAUGAUUGCAACUAAAGACAAAAUCUAACAGAAAGAAACCUUCUGUUUGGGUCCAAGGAAGAAGAAGAAGAAGAUGAUGGGACCACAAAAACAUCAAAGACAAAAAAAAAACGUUUUCUCCUUUUCUUUUCUAAAUGGUACUGCUGAGUGUAGAAACCGCAGUAGAUGAAGAAGCCCCUGACGAGUAAGCAUUUGAGUUAUCUCUAGUCCCGGUGCUAGACGAGGCAUUAUCUGAAGAAAGAUUCGUGUAGUAGUUGCUGCGUCUGUUCACUUCCUCUGGCUUUUUCUCGACCGGUCCUUUCACUUUCAAGUCCAUAAAAUCAGAAAUCAAACCCGGUCUGGUUAUGUUCCUGCUCUCUAUAUCCUUCUUCUCCCCUGUUAACAGCUUCACCACCGUGGACAUACUUGGCCUUAGCUUAGGAUUGUCUUGCGUGCACAAAAGACCUAUUUUUAGGUACCGGCAAGCUUCCUCUCCGUCAAAGACUCCGUUUAGCCCUGUGUCAACGAGAUCCACGAGCUCAUUUCGCUCAUAAAGAUCCCAAGCCUGUGGAAAUGCAAGAAAAAAAGUUAUAUCUCUAAAACCAAAGAGCUUACAAAAGAACAUAAAAGGCAA
This 3558-nucleotide long non-coding RNA is filed under the name Brassica napus (rape). RNAcentral's name for it is "long non-coding RNA (BNAP_LNC007188)". Lineage: Eukaryota; Viridiplantae; Streptophyta; Magnoliopsida; Brassicales; Brassicaceae. The record is from RNAcentral.